CGGCGGACGGGUGAGUAACACGUGGAUAACCUACCUAUAAGACUGGGAUAACUUCGGGAAACCGGAGCUAAUACCGGAUAAUAUUUUGAACCGCAUGGUUAAAAAGUGAAAGACGGUCUUGCUGUCACUUAUAGAUGGAUCCGCGCUGCAUUAGCUAGUUGGUAAGGUAACGGCUUACCAAGGCAACGAUGCAUAGCCGACCUGAGAGGGUGAUCGGCCACACUGGAACUGAGACACGGUCCAG
This 244-nucleotide ribosomal RNA is filed under the name uncultured Staphylococcus sp. RNAcentral describes it as "partial 16S ribosomal RNA". It matches the Rfam family "Bacterial small subunit ribosomal RNA", at positions 96 to 334 of the family's 1533-position model. Lineage: Bacteria; Bacillati; Bacillota; Bacilli; Caryophanales; Staphylococcaceae. The record is from RNAcentral.